This 1282-nucleotide ribosomal RNA is filed under the name metagenome. Its description in RNAcentral is "bacterial LSU rRNA". It matches the Rfam family "Bacterial large subunit ribosomal RNA", at positions 1663 to 2925 of the family's 2925-position model. The record is from RNAcentral.
GUGGUUGGGUAGAGAAUACCAAGGCGCUUGAGAGAACUCGGGUGAAGGAACUAGGCAAAAUGGCACCGUAACUUCGGGAGAAGGUGCGCCGGUGAGGGUGAAGGACUUGCUCCGUAAGCCCACGCCGGUCGAAGAUACCAGGCCGCUGCGACUGUUUAUUAAAAACACAGCACUCUGCAAACACGAAAGUGGACGUAUAGGGUGUGACGCCUCCCCGGUGCCGGAAGGUUAAUUGAUGGGGUUAGCUAACGCGAAGCUCUUGAUCGAAGCCCCGGAAAACGGCGGCCGUAACUAUAACGGUCCUAAGGUAGCGAAAUUCCUUGUCGGGUAGGUUCCGACCUGCACGAAUGGCGUAACGAUGGCGGCGCUGUCUCCACCCGAGACUCAGUGAAAUUGAAAUCGCUGUGAAGAUGCAGUGUAUCCGCGGCUAGACGGAAAGACCCCGUGAACCUUUACUAUAGCUUUGCACUGGACUUUGAAUUUGCUUGUGUAGGAUAGGUGGGAGGCUUUGAAGCGUGGACGCCAGUUCGCGUGGAGCCAACCUUGAAAUACCACCCUGGCAACUUUGAGGUUCUAACUCAGGUCCGUUAUCCGGAUCGAGGACAGUGUAUGGUGGGUAGUUUGACUGGGGCGGUCUCCUCCUAAAGAGUAACGGAGGAGUACGAAGGUGCGCUCAGACCGGUCGGAAAUCGGUCGUAGAGUAUAAAGGCAAAAGCGCGCUUGACUGCGAGACAGACACGUCGAGCAGGUACGAAAGUAGGUCUUAGUAAUCCGGUGGUUCUGUAUGGAAGGGCCAUCGCUCAACGGAUAAAAGGUACUCCGGGGAUAACAGGCUGAUACCGCCCAAGAGUUCAUAUCGACGGCGGUGUUUGGCACCUCGAUGUCGGCUCAUCACAUCCUGGGGCUGAAGCCGGUCCCAAGGGUAUGGCUGUUCGCCAUUUAAAGUGGUACGCGAGCUGGGUUUAGAACGUUGUGAGACAGUUCGGUCCCUAUCUGCCGUGGACGUUUGAGAUUUGAGAGGGGCUGCUCCUAGUACGAGAGGACCGGAGUGGACGAACCUCUGGUGUUCCGGUUGUCACGCCAGUGGCAUUGCCGGGUAGCUAUGUUCGGAAUAGAUAACCGCUGAAAGCAUCUAAGCGGGAAACUAGCCUCAAGAUGAGAUCUCACUGGGACCUUGAGUCCCCUGAAGGGCCGUCGAAGACUACGACGUUGAUAGGUUGGGUGUGUAAGCGCUGUGAGGCGUUGAGCUAACCAAUACUAAUUGCCCGUGAGGCUUGACCAA